CCUACGGGGAGGCAGCAGUAAGGAAUAUUGGUCAAUGGACGAAAGUCUGAACCAGCCAUGCCGCGUGAAGGAUUAAGGCCCUCUGGGUUGUAAACUUCUUUUAUCUGGGAACGAAAAAAGGGUAUUCUUACUCACUUGACGGUACCAGAGGAAUAAGCACCGGCUAACUCCGUGCCAGCAGCCGCGGUAAUACGGAGGGUGCAAGCGUUAUCCGGAUUUACUGGGUUUAAAGGGUGCGUAGGUGGGCUUGUAAGUCAGUGGUGAAAUCUCCGGGCUUAACCCGGAAACUGCCAUUGAUACUAUAGGUCUUGAAUUAUCUGGAGGUAAGCGGAAUAUGUCAUGUAGCGGUGAAAUGCUUAGAUAUGACAUAGAACACCAAUUGCGAAGGCAGCUUACUACGGAUAUAUUGACACUGAGGCACGAAAGCGUGGGGAUCAAACAGGAUUAGAUACCCUGGUAGUCCACGCCCUAAACGAUGGAUACUCGACAUCAGCGAUACACUGUUGGUGUCUGAGCGAAAGCAUUAAGUAUCCCACCUGGAAGUACGAUCGCAAGNUUGAAACUCAAAGGAAUUGACGG
This 579-nucleotide ribosomal RNA is filed under the name uncultured bacterium. Its description in RNAcentral is "bacterial SSU rRNA". It matches the Rfam family "Bacterial small subunit ribosomal RNA", at positions 338 to 916 of the family's 1533-position model. The record is from RNAcentral.